AUUAUUUUGGCAGAAUAGUGCAUUAAAUUUAGAAUUUAAAAAUGUGUAAUUACAAAUAAUA
Molecule: transfer RNA, 61 nt
Filed under: Elateroides dermestoides (large timberworm)
Lineage: Eukaryota; Metazoa; Arthropoda; Insecta; Coleoptera; Lymexylidae
Also listed under: 1 other name
Description: Hylecoetus dermestoides (large timberworm) tRNA-Leu
Source: RNAcentral